This 332-nucleotide ribosomal RNA is filed under the name uncultured bacterium. RNAcentral describes it as "bacterial SSU rRNA". It matches the Rfam family "Bacterial small subunit ribosomal RNA", at positions 568 to 898 of the family's 1533-position model. The record is from RNAcentral.
UGCGUAGGCGGCUGGGUAAGUCGCGUGUGAAAGCCCGGGGCUCAACCCCGGAGCUGCAUGCGAGACUGCCCGGCUCGAGCGCGGUAGAGGCGGGCGGAAUUCCUGGUGUAGCGGUGGAAUGCGUAGAGAUCAGGAAGAACACCGGUGGCGAAGGCGGCUCGCUGGGCCGUUGCUGACGCUGAGGCACGAAAGCGUGGGGAGCAAACAGGAUUAGAUACCCUGGUAGUCCACGCCCUAAACGAUGGACACUAGGCGUCGGGGGGAGCGACCCUCCCGGUUCCGUCGCUAACGCAAUAAGUGUCCCGCCUGGGGAGUACGGCCGCAAGGCUGAA